GACGAACGCUGGCGGCGUGCUUAACACAUGCAAGUCGAACGGAAAGGCCCUGCUUUUGUGGGGUGCUCGAGUGGCGAACGGGUGAGUAACACGUGAGUAACCUGCCCUUGACUUUGGGAUAACUUCAGGAAACUGGGGCUAAUACCGGAUAGGAGCUCCUGCUGCAUGGUGGGGGUUGGUAAGUUUCGGCGGUUGGGGCUGGACUCGCGGCUUACCAGCUUGUUGGUGGGGUAGUGGCUUACCAAGGCUUUGACGGGUAGCCGGCCUGAGAGGGUGACCGGCGACAUUGGGACUGAGAUACGGCCCAGACUCCAACGGGAGGCAGCAGUGGGGAAUAUUGCACAGUGGGCGGAAGCCUGAUGCAGCAACGCCGCGUGCGGGAUGACGGCCUUCGGGUUGUAAACCGCUUUCGCCUGUGACGAAGCGUGAGUGACGGUAAUGGGUAAAGAAGCACCGGCUAACUACGUG
Molecule: ribosomal RNA, 468 nt
Filed under: uncultured bacterium
Lineage: Bacteria
Description: partial 16S ribosomal RNA
Rfam family: Bacterial small subunit ribosomal RNA
Source: RNAcentral